CUAAGCCAAGUUUCAGUUCAUGUAAACAUCCUACACUCAGCUGUCAUACAUGCAUUGGCUGGGAUGUGGAUGUUUACGUCAGCUGUCUUGGAGUAU
RNAcentral lists this microRNA precursor (96 nucleotides) under Mus spretus (western wild mouse). Its description in RNAcentral is "microRNA 30b (ENSMSPG00010004484.1)". The stretch from base 13 to 86 matches the Rfam family "mir-30 microRNA precursor family". From Rfam's summary of the family: This family consists of the mammalian microRNA (miRNA) precursor mir-30a. Animal miRNAs are transcribed as ~70nt precursors and subsequently processed by the Dicer enzyme to give a ~22nt product. Lineage: Eukaryota; Metazoa; Chordata; Mammalia; Rodentia; Muridae. The record is from RNAcentral.